GCCGGUCAUGGUGGUGCACACCUGUAGUCCAAGCUACUUGAGAGGCUGAAGUGGGAGGAUUGCUUGAGUCCAGAAGUUCUGGGCUGCAGGGCGCUAUGACGAUCAGGUGUCCGCACUAGGUUCAGCAUUAAUAUGGUGACCUUCCAGGAGCGGGGGACCACCAGGUUGCCUAAGGAGGGGUAAACUGGCCCAGGUCAGAAAUGGAGCAGGUUAAAAAUCAAUAAAAAAAGAAACCACAAGAACUAUGCAAACAUAUGGAAAUUAAACAACACAUUCUU
This 278-nucleotide signal recognition particle RNA is filed under the name Octodon degus (degu). RNAcentral's name for it is "Metazoan signal recognition particle RNA (ENSODEG00000025842.1)". It matches the Rfam family "Metazoan signal recognition particle RNA". From Rfam's summary of the family: The signal recognition particle (SRP) is a universally conserved ribonucleoprotein. Lineage: Eukaryota; Metazoa; Chordata; Mammalia; Rodentia; Octodontidae. The record is from Rfam by way of RNAcentral.